Molecule: long non-coding RNA, 280 nt
Organism: Notolabrus celidotus (New Zealand spotty)
Lineage: Eukaryota; Metazoa; Chordata; Actinopteri; Labriformes; Labridae
Exons: 3
Source: RefSeq, a predicted model, not a curated record
CUCCAGUUUGUGAUUAUUCAGACUGAACGUGAUCACAGCAGGAUGAGACCGACUAGAGGGAGAAACCAUCUUCAAGUUUCCUCCCACAGCCUGAUUACUAAGUCAGCAAAAAUUUCCUCAGAUCACCUCUGAGCCAGCUCAUUGAUCGUCUGCAGAAAAAGACGAGCGGGGUCAAUACUUUCGUGUUUCCUUUUUUUUUAAGGAGACCACACACCACCCCAGGCUGACAUACAGCAUGGAGCAGGACCACCGGACAGCUGGAGUCAGGAGACCAAGGUUU